CCAGCGGCGUCACCACGGAAAAUUUCACAAACUGCCUCCGAUGAGACCCUUCCUAAUUCCCGUUUCAUGUAAUUUUUUCACCGUUGUGAUCACCGUUUUCCUCUCUACAAGUUGACUGAAGUGAAAACUCAACCGCAACGUGAGCCAGAAGAGCUGCCGCACUGGAGAGCCCCACCGCCGGUGAGUUUCGAUUUUUCAUAUUUUUUCAGCCCACUGAGGGCCUUUAGCGUUUGUAC
Molecule: long non-coding RNA, 236 nt
Filed under: Carica papaya (papaya)
Lineage: Eukaryota; Viridiplantae; Streptophyta; Magnoliopsida; Brassicales; Caricaceae
Description: long non-coding RNA (CPAP_LNC000545)
Source: RNAcentral